RNAcentral lists this unclassified non-coding RNA (340 nucleotides) under soil metagenome. RNAcentral's name for it is "partial contains 5.8S ribosomal RNA, internal transcribed spacer 2, and large subunit ribosomal RNA". The stretch from base 1 to 120 matches the Rfam family "5.8S ribosomal RNA", at positions 35 to 154 of the family's 154-position model. The record is from RNAcentral.
GAUGAAGAACGUAGUGAAAUGCGAUAAGUAAUGCGAAUUGCAGAUCUCCGUGAGUCAUUGAAUCUUUGAACGCACAUUGCGCCCUCGGGUAUUCCCGAGGGCAUGCCUGUCCGAGCGUCAUUAUCCAACCAUCAAGCUCGGCUUGCGGUUGAGCCCCGCACCGUCCCCGGGACGGUGGGCUCGAAACAUGUUGGGCGCCCGUGAGGUUGUCGGUGCAGCGAGCUCUCGAGCACGUGCCGGGCAACCGCUCUGGGCGUCGGCCAGCCCCCCCAUUUUCUCAGGUUGACCUCGGAUCAGGUAGGAAUACCCGCUGAACUUAAGCAUAUCAAUAAGCGGAGGA